GGCGGCGGCGGUCGCCACCUUGCCCCAGCCAUCUCUUCCUUGCCCGUCAACGGUGAUUGACUAGCUCUUCCUCGUCUCCAACUCUGGACCAGGGAAGCAGAUAAGAGAAGGCAAUCAGAUUUUAGUUUCUUGUAUAAGGCAGUGAAACUGACCACAACAUUGUUCUUCUAAAUGGAGGAAACUAGCGCCACCUCGCCCUCGCGAGUGGUAUGCACGACAUAUCUUCAUAGUGUACCAGCCCUCUCAGAAUCGGUCCAUGGCCUUGAAUUAAGUGAUGCCAACUCUUUUUCAGAGAUUAAUUCUGCUAUGCUUCCUUUUGAUGAAUUCUCUACGCCUAAGAAGAGACAAUGCUUUUCUCUAGAUACAAGACAGCAGGCUUGUACAAAUUUAGUGCUAACAGUGGGUUGGAUGAAAGAGUUGGUGCACUAUUCACAUGAACAACCAUGAUCUCAUAACCUGGGCGCAGAAGAAAGUUUUGCCAUGUCAAUGCUCACCACUUCAUAUUUUUGAAUGGACAAUAUAGUUCACUGGUACAGAAACUAGCCUAUCUAUGCGAAUUGUACAGACACAUAUCUGGAGGGGGUUUCCACUAAAAUGAUUUUUUCCAAGGAUGUAAAUGUAAAUUAUACCACUGACCUGAUCUGAAACCCACCUAAGCCUAUCUGUACCGCUGGAUGCUAAUCUAAUGGCUCAAAACGCUGGAUCACAUGAUCUCAUACUAAGCCCAUCUCACGCAAGUCUCGCCCCCUGUACU
Molecule: RNA transcript, 754 nt
Organism: Aegilops tauschii subsp. strangulata
Lineage: Eukaryota; Viridiplantae; Streptophyta; Magnoliopsida; Poales; Poaceae
Source: RefSeq, a predicted model, not a curated record